UUCCUGCUAACGUGAAUGGGUGUGAAUCUAGUUCUUCACAUUUUCUAUUGUGACUAGAUCCACACUCAUUAACGUUGGUGUGGA
Molecule: non-coding RNA, 84 nt
Organism: Anopheles dirus
Lineage: Eukaryota; Metazoa; Arthropoda; Insecta; Diptera; Culicidae
Source: Rfam